AUGGCAGCAAUUCAAGAAGACUGCUCUGGCGAAGAGACGAGGACAACUUUUCACCCGACUCUGUGGGGUGAUUACUUCCUUAAAUACAAGCCACAAUCUUCAGCGCAGCAAGCUCACAUGAGAGAAAGGAUGGAAAUACUAUUGGAGCAAGUAAGAACAGUGAUGAAGGAGGCAAAUGAAAUCCCCAAAAUACUAGAGCUUGUAAUCACGAUUGAGAGACUUGGUUUGGGCUACCAUUAUGAGAAUGAGAUUGCACAACUACUAGAUGUUGUUUUGAACUCUGAUUAUGAUGAUAAUAAUCUACACUUGGUUUCCCUUCGAUUUCAUCUUCUACGAAAAAAUAGAUAUGAUGUUUCAUCUGAUGUAUUCCAUAAAUUUGAAGACAAACAAGGAGGUUUUGUUCAGUCAGAUACAAAUAGUUUGUUGAGCUUAUAUAAUGCAGCACAUCUGAGUAUCAAGGGGGAGGAUGUAUUUGACAUGGCAGUCUCUUUCACGAGAAGACACCUCCUCGGGGCAUUAGAAAAUUUGGAAUCACCAUUUGCAGGGGAAGUUUCCUCUUCCCUUCUUACACCUCCUUUUAGAAGGGUUGGGAUAUUAGAAGCAAGAAACUACCUACCGUGUUACACAAACAAGGCUACACGAAAUGAAGCCAUAUUGGAGCUUGGCAAAUUGAAUUUCAAUAUUCUGCAACUUCAUUUUUGUGAGGAGUUGAAAGACGUCACAAUGUGGUGGAAUAAGAUCAAAAUGAAGUCAAGGUUGAGUUUCGUAAGAGACAGAAUUGUAGAAACUUAUUUUUGGAUAAAUGGGACUAGCUACAACCUUGAAUAUUCUUAUUCCCGAAUCAUAGCUACAAAGGUCACCGCUUUCAUGACUAUAAUAGAUGACAUAUUUGACACAUAUAGCAGCACUGAAGACAGCAUGCAACUUGCGGAAGCAAUUAAUAGGUGGGACGAAGAUGCAGUAAAUGUGCUUCCAGAAUACAUGAAGGAUAUCUACUUAUAUUUGUUGGAAACAUUUCAUUCUUUUGAGGACCAUUUAGGACCUGAGAAUAGCUACCGUGUGGUUUAUCUAAAAGAAGCGUUCAAGAAAUUGGUUCAAGCAUACAGUGAUGAACUAAAAUGGCGUGAUGAAAAUUAUGUACCAAAAACACUUAAUGAACACCUUCAAGUUUCAUCGGUAAGUAUUGGAACCUCUGUGGUAGCAUGUGCUAUAUUUGUUGGCAUGGAUGACACAACAGUGGAAACUCUCAAUUGGGUGUCGAGCGACCAGAAACUUCUGAAGUCUUUUGCUAUAUAUACACGUUUCACGAAUGACAUGGCAUCAGCAAAGCGUGAGCAAGCAGGGGGGCACUGUGCCUCUACUAUCCAAUCGUACAUGAAGGAGCAUGGGACGACAAAUGAUGAUGCAUGUGAAAAGAUAAAAGAACUUAUCGAGAACUCAUGGAAGGAUAUGUUACACCAUUAUCUCGCAUUGACAGAUCAACCAAUGGUCGUGCCCCAAAUGAUACUUAACCUUUCAAGGACUGUGGAUAACAUGUACAAGCAUACCGAUGCAUACACUAAUUCAGAGAUACUUAAAGAUACAAUAAGGAUGCUUUUUGCUGAGCCAGUGGAAUAG
RNAcentral lists this ribosomal RNA (1617 nucleotides) under Triticum aestivum (bread wheat). RNAcentral describes it as "partial small subunit ribosomal RNA". The record is from RNAcentral. Lineage: Eukaryota; Viridiplantae; Streptophyta; Magnoliopsida; Poales; Poaceae.